RNAcentral lists this ribosomal RNA (253 nucleotides) under uncultured bacterium. RNAcentral's name for it is "partial 16S ribosomal RNA". It matches the Rfam family "Bacterial small subunit ribosomal RNA", at positions 524 to 776 of the family's 1533-position model. The record is from RNAcentral.
UACGUAGGUGACCAGCGUUGUCCGGAUUUACUGGGCGUAAAGAGCGCGCAGGCGGUCGUUCAAGUCGCGUGUGAAAGCCCCCGGCUCAACUGGGGAGGGUCACGCGAUACUGAUCGACUCGAAGGCAGGAGAGGGAAGUGGAAUUCCCGGUGUAGUGGUGAAAUGCGUAGAUAUCGGGAGGAACACCAGUGGCGAAGGCGAGUCCCUGGACAAUUCCUGACGCUGAGGCACGAAAGCCAGGGGAGCAAACAGG